Molecule: ribosomal RNA, 429 nt
Filed under: Chloroflexota bacterium
Lineage: Bacteria; Bacillati; Chloroflexota
Description: Chloroflexi bacterium partial 16S ribosomal RNA
Rfam family: Bacterial small subunit ribosomal RNA
Source: RNAcentral
UAGGGAAUCUUCGGCAAUGGACGAAAGUCUGACCGAGCAACGCCGCGUGAGUGAAGAAGGUUUUCGGAUCGUAAAACUCUGUUGUUAGAGAAGAACAAGGACGUUAGUAACUGAACGUCCCCUGACGGUAUCUAACCAGAAAGCCACGGCUAACUACGUGCCAGCAGCCGCGGUAAUACGUAGGUGGCAAGCGUUAAUCGGAAUUACUGGGCGUAAAGCGCACGCAGGCGGUUGAUUGAGUCAGAUGUGAAAUCCCCGGGCUUAACCCGGGAAUUGCAUCGGAUACUGGUCAGAUAGAGUCUUGUAGAGGGGGGUAGAAUUCCAUGUGUAGCGGUGAAAUGCGUAGAGAUGUGGAGGAAUACCGGUGGCGAAGGCGGCCACCUGGACAAAGACUGACGCUCAGGUGCGAAAGCGUGGGGAGCAAACAGG